Perkinsus marinus ATCC 50983 is the source of this 447-nucleotide non-coding RNA. The record is from Rfam. NCBI's taxonomy places the organism in Eukaryota, Perkinsozoa, Perkinsida, Perkinsidae.
GGUUUAGACCGUCGUGAGACAGGUUAGUUUUACCCUACUGACAAAGUAGAUACUGCGACAGUAGUCGAAGUUAGUACGAGAGGAACACUUCGUCCAGAUACUUGGUUAAUGCCGUUGUCUGAAAAGACAGUACGGCGAAGCUACCAUCUGCUGGAUUACGGCUGAACGCCUCUAAGCCGGAAUCCAUGCUGGAUAAGCAGUGUUGUACACCGUGCUCAAUGCUACAAGAAAAAGGCUAGGUCAGGCUUCGGCCUGACCAAAAUUCAAGCUGCUAUACCUCUGGCUGCAUUGACUUGUGGUCAGAGUGUAUGGUGAUCAUAGCAAUUGCAAGUAUUGGGCUCGAUAAAUCCUUUGAAGACGACUUAAUUGCAUCCGGGUAUUGUAAGUGUUGAGAGUAGGCUUAGUCUUACGAUCCACUGAGAUUCAUCCCGUGUUGCGCCGAUUUGU